This 497-nucleotide ribosomal RNA is filed under the name uncultured bacterium. Its description in RNAcentral is "partial 16S ribosomal RNA". It matches the Rfam family "Bacterial small subunit ribosomal RNA", at positions 28 to 507 of the family's 1533-position model. The record is from RNAcentral.
GAUUAACGCUGGCGGCGUGCCUAAUACAUGCAAGUCGAGCGAACAGAUAAGGAGCUUGCUCCUUUGACGUUAGCGGCGGACGGGUGAGUUACACGUGGAUAACCUACCUAUAAGACUGGGAUAACUUCGGGAAACCGGAGCUAAUACCGGAUAACAUAUUGAACCGCAUGGUUCAAUAGUGAAAGGCGGCUUUGCUGUCACUUAUAGAUGGAUCCGCGCCGUAUUAGCUAGUUGGUAAGGUAACGGCUUACCAAGGCAACGAUACGUAGCCGACCUGAGAGGGUGAUCGGCCACACUGGAACUGAGACACGGUCCAGACUCCUACGGGAGGCAGCAGUAGGGAAUCUUCCGCAAUGGGCGAAAGCCUGACGGAGCAACGCCGCGUGAGUGAUGAAGGUCUUCGGUUCGUAAAACUCUGUUAUCAGGGAAGAACCAAUGUGUAAGUAACUGUGCACAUCUUGACGGUACCUGAUCAGAAAGCCACGGCUAACUACGUG